UUUUUUUUUUUUUUUUUUUGUGAUUACAGAGGAAAUCCGCUUUAGGAAUUAAACACUAGGCCUGUAAAUAUUUCAGUUCCUGUCUCCAAACUAGGGUCUCUCCUCUUGGGCACUGUGGAUGUUGGGGCGAAGCCAUUCUCUGGGGUGGGGCCGUCCUGGGCAUUGCAGGGUACAAAGCAGCGUCCCUGGCCUUCACCCACUCCAUGCCAGGAGCACCCCCAGUGUUGAUGACCACAGAUGUCCCCAGACAUAGCCUAGUGUCCCCCGGGGACAGAAUCCCCCUCCACUCCCCACCCCCCACCACUGAGAACAACUACUAUUUUUUUUUUUUUUUUUGAGAUGGAGUCUCUCUGUCACCAGGCUGGAGCACAGUGGCGUGAUCCCGGCUCACUGUAACCUCUGACUCCCUGGUUCAAGUGAUUCUCCUGCCUCAGCCCCCCGAGUAUCUGGGACUACAGGCAUAUGCCACCACAUCUGGCUAAAUUUUGUAUUUUUAGUAGAGCCGGAGUUUCACCAUGUUGGCUAGGAUGGUCUCGAACUCUCGACCUCAGGUGAUCCGCCCGCCUCGGCCUCCCAAGGUGCUGGGAUGACAGGCGUGAGCCACCACAUCUGGCAGAGAAUAACUACUAUUCUAAAGGCUAAGGUGGCCAGGUGCGGUGGCUCACGCCUGUCAUCCCAGCUCAUUGGGGAGGCCGAGGCCGGAUUAUUCCUUGAGGUCAGGAGUUUGAGACCAGCCUGACCAGCAUGGUGCUGGGAUUACAGGUGUGAGCCUCCGCACCUGGCCGCUAAUUUUUGUAUUUUUAAUAGAGACGGAGUUUUGCUAUGUUGGCCAGGCUGGUCUCGAACUCUUGACCUCAGGUGAUCUGUCUACCUUGACUUCCCAAAGUGCUGGCAUUACAGGCAUGAGCCACCACGCCCAGCCUUUUUUUUUUUUUUUUUUUUUUUGAGAAAGGAUCUUGCUCUAUCACCCAGAGUAGUGGUGGAGUGCCGUGGUGCAAUCCUAGCUCACUGUACCUUGGAACCCCUGGGCUGAAGCAAUCCUCCCACCUGGGCCUCCUGAGUAGCUGGGACCACGGACAUGUGCCACCAGGUCUGGCUUUUAAAUUUUUAGUAGAGACAGAGUCUCACUAUGUUGCCCAGGCAGGUCUCAGACUCCUGUCCUCAAGUGAUGCACCCGCCC
RNAcentral lists this long non-coding RNA (1180 nucleotides) under Macaca fascicularis (crab-eating macaque). RNAcentral's name for it is "lncRNA (ENSMFAG00000054047.1)". Lineage: Eukaryota; Metazoa; Chordata; Mammalia; Primates; Cercopithecidae. The record is from RNAcentral.